This 83-nucleotide microRNA precursor is filed under the name Petromyzon marinus (sea lamprey). RNAcentral describes it as "microRNA pma-mir-30g precursor". Its record names the gene pma-mir-30g. Lineage: Eukaryota; Metazoa; Chordata; Hyperoartia; Petromyzontiformes; Petromyzontidae. The record is from miRBase by way of RNAcentral.
GUUUCAGGUGGUGUAAACAUCCUUCACUCUCAGCUGUGAGAUGGAAGCACACUGAGAGGAGGGGUGUUGACACCAGCUGACUC